CGCCGUAAAGGUUGGCAUGUGUUGACGCACGUAAGCGACCUCAUACUUGUACAAUUCGUCUGCUUUGUCUGUCGGCAGAUCUUGAAUUUUCUUUGGCAGUUU
This 102-nucleotide ribosomal RNA is filed under the name Lacticaseibacillus paracasei. Lineage: Bacteria; Bacillati; Bacillota; Bacilli; Lactobacillales; Lactobacillaceae. The record is from RNAcentral.